Molecule: long non-coding RNA, 613 nt
Filed under: Cucumis sativus (cucumber)
Lineage: Eukaryota; Viridiplantae; Streptophyta; Magnoliopsida; Cucurbitales; Cucurbitaceae
Description: long non-coding RNA (CSAT_LNC001815)
Source: RNAcentral
GCAACUUUAUCGUCCGGAAGUAGGAACGUCAAUCCACCGGGGUCGGAGUGCGAUGAUAGCCCCAACGUCAACUCCGGUUGUGGGCAUUUUGGAUAAUAAUUCACUCUCAAACAUGCUCCAACAUCUUCUCCUCCAAAUGCAUUUUGUAGGUACCCUUCUUGAAGCCCCAAAUUUAGUGAUAAAAGCUUCAACAAUUUUCCUCCUACCUUCACUACUUCUUCCCCAUACUCCUCUGUCAAUUCUCUACAUUAACAAAAUAAUCCAAUUUCAUUUCUUUACCAAUUAGUUCCAGAUUUUUAUGUUAAUAGGAAUAUAUAUAUAUUCUCUUCAUGUAAAAGUUAAAGUUUUAUUGGUUAUUGUAGACUUAUAUUCUCACCUUUAUCCCAUGAGAGUAAAAAAUAUGGAUGGAAAUGACAUUUAUGGGGUGACUUUGACUUAUUUUUUAUUUUAAAAAUUUUUAGAUAAGAAUCGAGUUGAGUUAGGUUGGGUUGGAUAAGUACCUGAUAGAGUUGGGUAUAACGGGCCAUUUAUUGUGAUCUUUGAGAUGAGAAGGAAGAUAGUGAAGAAAAAAGUAGUCACUCCAAUCAAGAAUAGCUCCUUUUUGAACACCAAG